CCUACGGGAGGCAGCAGUGAGGAAUAUUGGUCAAUGGACGAGAGUCUGAACCAGCCAAGUAGCGUGAAGGAUGACUGCCCUAUGGGUUGUAAACUUUUUUUAUGUGGGAAUAAAAUAUUCAAAGUAUGUGAUUUUGUAUUUACCAUAUGAAUAAGGAACGGCUAACCCCGUGCCAGCCGACGAGGUAAUACGGAGGAUACGAGCGUUAUCCGGAUUUAUUGGGUUUAAAGGGAGCGUAGGUGGAUUGUUAAGUCAGUUGUGAAAGUUUACGGCUCAACCGUAAAAUUGCAGUUGAAACUGGGAGUCUUGAGUACAGUAGAGGUGGGCGGAACUCGUGGUGUAGCGGUGAAAUGCUUAGAUAUCUCGAAGAACUCCGAUUGCGAAGGCAGUUGACUGGACUGCAACUGACACUGAGGCUCGAAAGUGUGGGUAUCAAACAGGAUUAGAUACCCGUGUAGUC
Molecule: ribosomal RNA, 460 nt
Filed under: uncultured bacterium
Lineage: Bacteria
Description: partial 16S ribosomal RNA
Rfam family: Bacterial small subunit ribosomal RNA
Source: RNAcentral